GCAAAAGAGUAGCCGUUUUGGGAAGCUGCUAGCUGACGGGGUUGCAAGUCAUGAAGGCGACAAAUGGGCAAAGCACCGAAGAAUCCUCAAUCCUGCCUUUCACCAUGAGAAGAUAAAGGUACCUGUUCAAUGAAAUUUUGCAGCAGCAAGGGUGAUGUAGGAUAAUGCACUCUUUGUAUUUUCAUUGAUUAAAAUUAAGUUAUAUACAGAACAAAAGAAAACAAACUCUUUGUGUAGAUUGAUAAGUGAUAAGUAAUGUUUCAUUUUGCAGAGGAUGCUGCCUGUAUUUUCUGCCUGUUGCGAAGAAAUGAUUACAAGAUGGGAGAAUUCCAUGCCUACUGGAGGAUUAUGUGAGAUUGACGUGUUUCCUGAGUUCCAGAAUCUAACUGGAGAUGUCAUCUCGAGAACAGCAUUUGGUAGCAAUUAUCAGGAGGGAAUGAAAAUAUUCCAGCUGCAAGGGGAGUUAUGUGAACGGCUAAUACAGGCUUUUCAGACACUUUUUAUCCCAGGCUAUUGGUAAGUUGUUUUCUUACACAAGCUGAUAUCAUUUCAAGCAGCAAAUAAGUAGUAGAAAAUAGUAGCUGAUUUCAUACAGGCUUUUAAAUGAAAGAGUUUAUUGAAGAAAAUAGUAGGCUGAUCAAAGAAAAAUUUGUCUUUUUGAUGGUAAACUUAAACAGCAGCAAUCAAGAUUUUCUUUCCUAUGCUGACAUGUCAGACCAUUUGCAGGUUCUUACCAACAAAAAACAACAGAAGGAUGAGAGCAAUUGAUCGUGAAAUCCGCAUGAUUCUACGAGGCAUUAUUGGGAAAAAAGAAAGAGCAAUUAAAAACAAUGAAGCUAGCAGCGAUGAUUUGCUAGGAUUGCUGUUGGAGUCAAAUAUGCAACAAGCAAAUGGGAAAGCAAAUCUUGGAAUGAGUAUUGAAGAUAUAAUUGAGGAAUGCAAGCUAUUUUACUUUGCAGGUAUGGAGACAACAUCAGUCUUGCUCACAUGGACAUUAAUUGUGCUAAGCAUGCACCCAGAGUGGCAAGAGCAGGCAAGGGAGGAAGUGUUGCAUCACUUUGGAAGAACCAGACCAGAUUUUGAGAACUUGAGUCGCCUGAAGAUUGUAAGUGUGAAAUUGAUGCCUUGUGCACAUUUUGCAGUGAAAACAAAUACUCAGGAAUUGAAAGGAUUUUUUCCAGGAUGAUGUGAUGUUUUAAGUCUAGAAUGGCCGGAGUAAUGUUCUUGAUAUUGUGUAUUGUUUUGCAGGUAACCAUGAUUUUGUACGAGGUUCUUAGGUUGUACCCGCCAGCAAUCUUCCUUGCGAGAAGAACUUACAAGGCAAUGGAGCUUGGUGGCAUCAGAUAUCCGGCAGGGGUGAACCUUAUGUUGCCCCUUAUCUUUAUCCACCAUGAUCCCGAUAUUUGGGGAAAAG
This 1414-nucleotide long non-coding RNA is filed under the name Triticum aestivum (bread wheat). RNAcentral's name for it is "long non-coding RNA (TAES_LNC018392)". Lineage: Eukaryota; Viridiplantae; Streptophyta; Magnoliopsida; Poales; Poaceae. The record is from RNAcentral.